AGAAUCAACGCUGGCGGCGUGCCUAACACAUGCAAGUCGAUCGAGAAAGUGGAGCAAUCCAUGAGUAAAGAGGCGCACGGGUGAGUAACACGUGACUAACCUACCCUCGAGUGGGGAAUAACCUGGGGAAACCCGGGCUAAUACCGCAUAAUACCCACGGGUCAAAGGAGCAAUUCGCUUGAGGAGGGGGUCGCGGCAGAUUAGUUAGUUGGCGGGGUAAUGGCCCACCAAGACGAUGAUCUGUAUCCGGCCUGAGAGGGCGCACGGACACACUGGAACUGAAACACGGUCCAGACUCCUACGGGAGGCAGCAGUGGGAAUUUGCGCAAUGGGGGAAACCCUGACGCAGCAACGCCGCGUGGAGGAUGAAGUCCCUUGGGACGUAAACUCCUUUCGACCGGGACGAUAAUGACGGUACCGGAUGAAGAAGCCCGGCUAACUUCGCGCCAGCAGCCGC
This 457-nucleotide ribosomal RNA is filed under the name uncultured bacterium. Its description in RNAcentral is "SSU rRNA". It matches the Rfam family "Bacterial small subunit ribosomal RNA", at positions 26 to 518 of the family's 1533-position model. The record is from RNAcentral.